GCACAAGCGGUGGAGCAUGUGGUUCAAUUCGACGCAACGCGCAGAACCUUACCUGGGCUAGACAACAUCGGACAGUCCUAGAGAUAGGAUCUUCCCUUCGGGGACCGGUGGUUCAGGUGCUGCAUGGCUGUCGUCAGCUCGUGUCGUGAGAUGUUGGGUUAAGUCCCGCAACGAGCGCAACCCUUUCCUUUAGUUGCCAUCAGGUAAAGCUGGGCACUCUAAAGGGACUGCCGGCGUUAAGCAGGAGGAAGGUGGGGAUGACGUCAAGUCCUCAUGGCCCUUAUGUCCAGGGCUACACACGUGCUACAAUGGACGGUACAAAGGGCAGCAAACCCGCGAGGGGGAGCCAAUCCCAAAAAGCCGUUCUCAGUUCGGAUUGGAGUCUGCAACUCGACUCCAUGAAGUUGAAUCGCUAGUAUC
RNAcentral lists this ribosomal RNA (420 nucleotides) under uncultured bacterium. RNAcentral's name for it is "bacterial SSU rRNA". It matches the Rfam family "Bacterial small subunit ribosomal RNA", at positions 923 to 1342 of the family's 1533-position model. The record is from RNAcentral.